AAAAAGGAAGAAAAGAACCACACACAAGAGGUGCAGCACUAACACAACCCAUUGAAUGGAUGUACCCACUCAAGGAGAGUGUUAUAGAGAAAGAUGCCAGCCUAAGAAAGAGAACGAGCUGAUACGGUUGAUAAAUGUGUCUCAGUAUUUGCGGUCACGCGCAAAGUUGACUAAAUCGGAGCAGGCGGAGGGAAGGAAGCUGAUGUUUUCAUUUUUAUUUUUAAUAAAAAAAACAUUUUAGUUGAAGCUACGGUCAUGCCACUUCGAAACUGUGAAUGGACAGCUACGUCUAUGGAAAAGCAACUCUCAAUUUCUGACGGGUCUCCCAACCAAACACAAAGGCCUUGAACACCCACACAGGUGUUUUCAGUUAACUGACUGUGUGGGUGACUUCAGACUGACCUCUUCUUGAGUCUCCUCUUAGCUUUAUUGCACCUGUUAGGGCUGGACAAAUGGCAGCUUUAUCAUUGUUAUUGGUAGAAAAGAUUUGUGACCUAAUAAAUUCCCAUCUAAGCUCCAGGCCCAUCUUCAACCUGAACAGAGGCCUCAUCAGAAUAAGUGAAAGCUGUGUGGGUGUUCAGAGGCUUUUUUAAAUGAACCCACCUGGGGGGUUUAAUUAGUGAGGUAUUGUUUGCUAACAGUGUUGCUAACGAUAUCAGCUAACGGUGCUUGUUGCAAGCUAGCAGCGAUGGAUUGAGGACAUGAGGACUUUUGUCAACAAAGUGACCUCCACAGUGGGAAAUUCAUCUUACAGUGGGGAACUUCAUCUCGCGUGAAAGAAAGGAGAGAGGACUUCAAAAAAUAUGAAACUACAGCUCAUGAAGAGAAUAGACACAGACGGUGGAGGUUUUGAAGGUUGCCCUUGAAUGGAAAGUCUUCAUGCUGGCUUUGCUCCCCGUACUAUGGUGCGGCACACAGCUGAGGAGAAAUCUUGUUUGGAAGGAGACGCAGCACAUCUACUAAG
Perca fluviatilis (European perch) is the source of this 964-nucleotide long non-coding RNA. RefSeq lists it as uncharacterized. Lineage: Eukaryota; Metazoa; Chordata; Actinopteri; Perciformes; Percidae. The record is from RefSeq and is a predicted model, not a curated record. The transcript is spliced from 3 exons.